UCGAAUUUAGCUGCUUAGAAAUUGAACGACACAAGCGCUUCGCAGAGGCCUUUCCAGCGACAUAUAGGAAGGAUCGCAAACAUGCGUUCAUAUAGUAUAGGAGGCGCGGUAUACGCUUGCAUGCAUACAGCCGGAAGACCAGGAUUUCUGUUUUGGUAGCUGCGGCGGUAGCAGCAGCAACCCGGAAGCAGCAGUACCGAGGGAGCGCGCGGGCGUGCGCUCUGCCUCCGUGCAGCAGGACGCCGCUCUGAACCUUGACAUUAUCUUUCUCGCCCCGGCGGCUGUGGGCCCGGGCCGGGAGACGACGACGACGCCACGGCUCGGGGUCACCUCUCCUCCGCUCCGGCUCGCAGCCCGGGCGCACCUCCUCCUCACUAGGCCCGGUCC
Dermacentor andersoni is the source of this 387-nucleotide long non-coding RNA. RefSeq lists it as uncharacterized. The record is from RefSeq and is a predicted model, not a curated record. NCBI's taxonomy places the organism in Eukaryota, Metazoa, Arthropoda, Arachnida, Ixodida, Ixodidae.